This 498-nucleotide ribosomal RNA is filed under the name uncultured bacterium. Its description in RNAcentral is "partial 16S ribosomal RNA". It matches the Rfam family "Bacterial small subunit ribosomal RNA", at positions 30 to 523 of the family's 1533-position model. The record is from RNAcentral.
AUUGAACGCUGGCGGCAUGCCUUACACACGCAAGUCGAACGGUAACAGGUCUUCGGAUGCUGACGAGUGGCGAACGGGUGAGUAAUACAUCGGAACGUGCCUAGUAGUGGGGGAUAACUACUCGAAAGAGUGGCUAAUACCGCAUGAGAUCUACGGAUGAAAGCAGGGGAUCGCAAGACCUUGUGCUACUAGAGCGGCCGAUGGCAGAUUAGGUAGUUGGUGGGAUAAAAGCUUACCAAGCCGACGAUCUGUAGCUGGUCUGAGAGGACGAUCAGCCACACUGGGACUGAGAAACGGCCCAGACUCCUACGGGAGGCAGCAGUGGGGAAUUUUGGACAAUGGGCGCAAGCCUGAUCCAACAAUGCCGCGUGCAGGAUGAAGGCCUUCGGGUUGUAAACUGCUUUUGUACGGAACGAAAAGCCCCGGGUUAAUACCCUGGGGUCAUGACGGUACCGUAAGAAUAAGCACCGGCUAACUACGUGCCAGCCGCCGCGGUAA